Molecule: ribosomal RNA, 292 nt
Filed under: uncultured bacterium
Lineage: Bacteria
Description: partial 16S ribosomal RNA
Rfam family: Bacterial small subunit ribosomal RNA
Source: RNAcentral
GUGCCAGCAGCCGCGGUAAUACGGAGUGUGCAAGCGUUACUCGGAAUCACUGGGCAUAAAGCGCGCGUAGGCGGGCUUUCAAGUCGGUUGUGAAAUCCCUCAGCUCAACUGAGGAACUGCAUCCGAUACUGUUUGUCUUGAGGACGAGAGGGGAGAGUGGAACUUCUGGUGGAGCGGUGAAAUGCGUAGAUAUCAGAAGGAACGCCGGUGGCGAAAGCGACUCUCUGGCUCGUAUCUGACGCUGAGGCGCGAAAGCUUGGGUAGCAAACGGGAUUAGAUACCCGCGUAGUCC